This is a non-coding RNA of Acanthosepion pharaonis, 114 nucleotides long. The record is from the annotation of a GenBank genome assembly. NCBI's taxonomy places the organism in Eukaryota, Metazoa, Mollusca, Cephalopoda, Sepiida, Sepiidae.
UUACGGUCACAUCACGUUGAAACCCCAGUUCCCGAACCAAGACAGAAGUUAAGCAAUAUCGCGCCUGGUCAGUACCGAGAUGGGUGGCCGCUUGAGUAUACCAAGUGCUGUAAG